UCGCUGUGAUGAAGUUUUUUCCUCCCAUUCGUAGUUUCCACCAGAGGUUGAAAGACCAAAGAUGGCCCAACACCUUCCUUGGAUGUCUGAGCGA
Molecule: small nucleolar RNA, 94 nt
Filed under: Esox lucius (northern pike)
Lineage: Eukaryota; Metazoa; Chordata; Actinopteri; Esociformes; Esocidae
Description: Small nucleolar RNA SNORD14 (ENSELUG00000034724.1)
Rfam family: Small nucleolar RNA SNORD14
About the family: U14 small nucleolar RNA (U14 snoRNA) is required for early cleavages of eukaryotic precursor rRNAs. In yeasts, this molecule possess a stem-loop region (known as the Y-domain) which is essential for function.
Source: Rfam by way of RNAcentral